This 738-nucleotide ribosomal RNA is filed under the name uncultured Actinomycetes bacterium. RNAcentral describes it as "bacterial SSU rRNA". It matches the Rfam family "Bacterial small subunit ribosomal RNA", at positions 73 to 827 of the family's 1533-position model. The record is from RNAcentral. Lineage: Bacteria; Bacillati; Actinomycetota; Actinomycetes.
AGCACCUUCGGGUGUGAAUUAGCGGCGAACGGGUGAGGAACACGUGAAGAAUCUGCCUUCAACUCUGGGAUAACUCCGGGAAACCGGGGCUAAUACCGGAUAUGAGCCUUGAUCGCAUGAUCGGGGCUGGAAAGUUUUUCGGUUGAAGAUGACUUCGCGGCCUAUCAGCUUGUUGGUGAGGUAAUGGCUCACCAAGGCGACGACGGGUAGCCGGCCUGAGAUGGCGACCGGCCACACUGGGACUGAGACACGGCCCAGACUCCUACGGGAGGCAGCAGUGGGGAAUAUUGGGCAAUGGAGGAAACUCUGACCCAGCGACGCCGCGUGAGGGAUGAAGGCCUUCGGGUUGUAAACCUCUUUCAGUAGGGAAGAAGCGAAAGUGACGGUACCUACAGAAGAAGCACCGGCUAACUAUGUGCCAGCAGCCGCGGUAAUACAUAGGGUGCAAGCGUUGUCCGGAAUUAUUGGGCGUAAAGAGCUCGUAGGUGGUUCGAUACGUCGGAUGUGAAAAUCAGGGGCUCAACCCCUGACCUGCAUCCGAUACGGUCGAGCUAGAGUUUGGUAGGGGAGACUGGAAUUCCUGGUGUAGCGGUGGAAUGCGCAGAUAUCAGGAGGAACACCGAUGGCGAAGGCAGGUCUCUGGGCCAAUACUGACACUGAGGAGCGAAAGCGUGGGGAGCGAACAGGAUUAGAUACCCUGGUAGUCCACGCCGUAAACGGUGGGCGCUAGUUGUGCGA